This 194-nucleotide unclassified non-coding RNA is filed under the name Lectera sp. RNAcentral's name for it is "partial contains small subunit ribosomal RNA, internal transcribed spacer 1, and 5.8S ribosomal RNA". The record is from RNAcentral. RNAcentral also lists the same sequence under 1 other name. Lineage: Eukaryota; Fungi; Ascomycota; Sordariomycetes; Glomerellales; Plectosphaerellaceae.
UCUCCGUUGGUGAACCAGCGGAGGGAUCAUUACCGAGUUUACACUCAUAACCCUUUGUGAACAUUAUAACUUGUUGCUUCGGCGGCUUCUUCGGGAGCCCGCCGGCGUUUCAGUAUCUCUGUUUGUACCCGACGAUACAUCUGAGUGUUCUUAGCGAACUAUAAAAACUUUUAACAACGGAUCUCUUGGUUCUA